Gambusia affinis (western mosquitofish) is the source of this 3311-nucleotide long non-coding RNA. RefSeq lists it as uncharacterized. The transcript is spliced from 4 exons. The record is from RefSeq and is a predicted model, not a curated record. NCBI's taxonomy places the organism in Eukaryota, Metazoa, Chordata, Actinopteri, Cyprinodontiformes, Poeciliidae.
UCUUAGCAAUGGUUUCAGUUUUGUGUUGCUCGGUGUAUCUGUUUAAACUCCUUUCAGCUGAUUCAAAGUCUGUAGCGUUUGUUUGUUGUUUGUUUAUUCGUCCUCUAAAAUCGAGCAUCUUUUGCUUUUCGCGAGAGUCUUUUUGACCGGCGGAGAGAAGAUUGAGGUGGAUUUAUUUAACAACUUCCGGUCACAUUUGCAUCAGACACACCAAGAAAAGAGGUAAGCAAAAAAAAGCAAAAAAAAAAAAAAAAAAAAAAGAAAUAAACAUUACUUACACAAACCUAACACCAAAUCAAUAAGUGGCUCCAAUAAACAUUUACAUACACACAAAUCAUUACAGCUGAACUAAUCUCAGGUCAGAAUAAAUUUAACUGAACAUAACUUCUCAAAGGUCGCACCCCUCCUAAUUUAGAUGGUACGCUCCAGCACUUUUUAAGCAGCUUUUUUUUUUUUCCUCCUUUUGCUGCUCCGCCCUUCUGAGGAAACAGCUGGAAAGGCAGUAUGGCCAGUCCCUCCGCUCACAACCACGUUUAACGAAAUGUCAAAACACAACUGAAACACAGAACUGAACAAAGAAAAACUUGGUCCGUAAAUUAAUUAAACACCACGUGAUAUCCAGAGUCCUAUUUCAGGAGAGAUGGUCUCCGUCAUGAAUCAGGAUUGACCUCUUCAGCAGUUGGAGCUCCAGGGCCAAUCAUCAUUAGCGACACAAGAUUGACACCGUGCACCUCACCUGGGGACCAAGACACAUCACAUCUGGAAGUCGCCCACUUACAAGACUAAUCUAUCAUUUGUCGAGUCGUGCUGUAGUGACGAGGUACGGCGACAAGUUUAUCGUCCCGCUCUGCGGCAGAUUGUUCAUACUUGAGCUGCCAUAAAUCAACAGGGAGGUUAAGAAAGUUGCAUCGCAACAUCAGAUAACGUGGUUUUUUUUUGACUAACCUUUGAGUGCCGGAGAGAGGGACCCUUCUAUUUUUGAUUUGUUUCUUUGUUGUUGUUUUUUUUCGAACCCCGCUCAAGUGAAAGUUCAUCACGUAAUUGAUUUCAUUCAGCUAUGUGAAGAGACCAGCACUCUCCAGAUGUAACGGCCUCCGAAAAUCCCGUCGCAAUUUCUUGUAAAAACAUAAUGGCGUUUAAAACGGCUAAAAUCGCACGCGUCACAUUAGGUCGAGGAAACUGGAACACUGUCACGCAGAAGACUGUUAGAACGUCACCCAUGUGGUUUGGUGUUGCUCCUGUCGGCUGAAGUGAGACUGAACACCGUGUUGACAUGACAAAACCUGCCUGAGGUUCACAGGAAGUAGAUUUUAGCUGAUUAUGAGCCUCAUAAGGUCUUCGAAAUGCUCUUAAAAGAUUCAAAACAACUGCAAACAUGCUUGGAUCUGACGAUGUGAGUAAUUUCCUCUAGAAAAGGAUGGAAGAUGCUAAAAGUCCCUGAAGACUCCAAAGAGACCUCAUGGGACCUACAAUAUGAAUUUAUUACCAUUAAUUUGAAAUAAAAAUCCAUUAUGAUUUCUAGUUCCCCAAUCAGUUUCAAAGACUAAAAAAUAUGAGGAUUCGUUAUUCUUUUGUUUAAUGAGAAACCCCCCCCCCCAACCCCCGCCUUAAAUUUCUGGCAUUUAUUUGCACUUAUUUCAUUUGUUCUAGAGGUAAAAAAAAAAAUGAAUUAAUGGGAUGCUCUACGUCAUACUGACAUGUCCUCGUGUGGUAAUCUCGUCUCCUAAAAGAUGCUGUGUUCAAUGAAGCUCAUUUCCACGUCCCAAACGAACAACGCUGACACGAAAUCUCUCACACACUUUGCAACAAUGCCCCGGCCUGCGAGUAAACCUACCCUGGUACAAGUCUGAGGUCAGGUGUUUACAUACUGGAAGCCACAUGCUUUAUUUGUUUGCACAAGCUGCGUCCCGUAUCGAGUAUCACGACAGCCGUCUGUGGUUCUCGCAACAUGCAACAGUGCGCCAGCUAGUUGAAUCGAGCACCAAGGGAUAUUUUCCUAACCAAUCUUGCAGGUUUUGCUCUUCUUAAAAGGAUGGAAACAAAGUUAAGCCUGUAGAUUUGAGAUAUUACCGAAGGAAGCGUUCGGUGGAUUUAAAUGGGAGGAAAAGGGGGAAGUGUUGAUGAAGUUUGACUUGCGUUUAUUUGGUAGGAUUUGGGUUUUACUGUCUAUUUUUUUUUUUUCCUUUCCUGAAAAGGCAAGUACUAUCCUGAAUAAGUACUACUAGACUUACUCAGCUUAUUAUAGUUACUUCAACAGCACCUUUACUCAGUUUCUCUGUUUGAGUAACUUUGCACCAAAGAAACUUUGACAAACUUUGGUACAAAGUUACACAAACGUUGGUCAAACACCACUGAAGGUUUUCUUGUUCAGUUCAUUUUAGCUCUGAAAAAUUGACGUUCAAUGAAGAUUUCUUAUUACUUGAAGCAGCCCUGUAUUUCCCUUGACUCCAUCAAACACUAGGCACCCACUCAUUUCUGCAUAAGGACAGGAAGAGUGUGAAAAAGGAUACGCGUACCCAUCUGUGUCUUUGUAUCGUGUAUUUUUUUUUGGUUUAGACGGAGAUUCUUUAGUAUGUUUUGCCAACCAGACAGAGGUCAGAUCGGUAUUAUGAUGUGUUGACAAGCUUUACUAUAUAGUUUUCAGAAACAAACAAACAAACAAACAAAAAAAAAACCCAGAUCUGCGGGGAAACCAAUCAGGGCCGAGCACAGGUCUCACGGUGGCAGUUCAAGCUAUUAUCGACCUCUGCAGCACAUCUCCGAGCUUCUCUUACAAUCCAUAACGGUGCCGAUGGGAGAUUUAUCUCUUUAAUUCAACUUUUGCAUUAACUCCUCACCGCUCCUUUCUCCAAUCUGGCUUCGGGCAUCCGAGAGCUGAAAAAACUAAACUAAACAAAACGACAAAAAAACACUUUUCCUCUGAAGGCAGCGGGCCGCACUGUGGGUUCUUUUAUUUAUCAUGGUUACUGCUGACGUUGGCUAAUAAGACAGCUUGUGUGCAUUUCACACAGGGAAUGGAUUUUAAAACGAGUGCUAUGAAACGGCCUGAAUUAGGCUUUCCCCUCAGUAACAGUUAUAAAUCCUCACAGCUGCUGCACUUACAGCUUUAAGGCGUGUUGGGGUAAAACAAAAACAAAAAAUUAAACAAAAAACCCCCCACAAACCUGUUUUUAUGCUUCAAGUGUAAGAGCCUGAGUGGUUUUCUGGUUGCAAUUAAUUCAAACAUUUUUUCUUUUUUUUCUGUGAUGUGAAUUAAUUUGUUAUAGCUCUUGUGUUUACUUGCAGAAAAGCUAAUAAAACACAUUUAUGCA